AGGGGACCUGGAGCCUGUCCCAGCAAGCAACAGGCACAAGGCAGGGGACACCCUGGUGCAAGGACGGGAUACCAUCUCAGGGCAAACACAGACACAAACACGCACACACUUACACCAGGGGCCCAGAUAGUACCCCUUACCCAGAACUGAACUCAGGGCCCAAACCCUGCAAUAAUCACUGUUGUCUGUUCUGAACUUAUCUGCCUGGUAAAAUAAAGGUAUUUUUGAUGUGCAAGUAUAAUUUGGCUUUUAACUUGCACUCUGCCAAAGACCAGGGUCUAUACAACAUUGGAUACAAACAGAUACAAAGAAAUCCUCUACCCUUCCUUUAUUCAUAAAUAACCAUUAUUAAUGAAGUUCCAUUAGGUCCUGCUAAUUAAAGUUAUUCAUGAAAUUUUCAAUGUCCAGUGAAACAGAAUCAUUGUACAUGACUCUGACAAAUCCAUAUUGAAUCAGCAUUCAUAAACAUAGAUUCUGCCUUUUCAGAAAACUUUAUUAAGCUCCUACCUUUUGCAUCUUAAUUUUUGCAAAGAGUCAUUCCGUUCUCAUUACUGACAAGCCACAUGAAUGUUGGUGUUUGCAGUUGCUGAAAAUGUCCAUCCUUUUUUGUUUUUCUCCAAUAAUAUGGACAAAAUAAUGUGCAGACAUCUUUUCACUCAAUGAUAAAUCGUAAUCGAUAAAUCAAGGGAGAGAGCAGGAAAAUGAGGCAAACUGGAGGGUAGGGAGAAUAGUAGAAGAAAUUUUAUGGAUGUUUAAAGCAAUGUAGUGAGACAGUGGUAUAAGAUGAAUAUUGUACCUGGUAAAAAAGUUCUAGUAGAAGUUCUACUGUAUAUUGUAUCAUGAAGUUGUUUUGUUGGAUGACCUUGGGAAUAGAGAGUGUAAAGGGGAAAAUGUAGGAAGUGGAAUGCAGUUGUGGCUUCAGGAAUUCCUUGUUUGGUUUAUGUUCCAAGGACAGGGUUUUGUUUGGAUAAGGGCCUUGUCAAUGCAGAUCAGACCCACUUCAGGAGGCAGCUUUUGUUGUCCAUGAAGUCAUCCUUGCCUCAGCCUCAUUCCUCUUCUGUAGAGUCCUGCCCUGCACUUUACUCUUUUCUCGGACUGCCCUCAUUUCUGCCGCCCUUCCAGUUUCCCUUUUCUCCAGAUCUUUAGGACUCUUUUACCUUUCUCUCACCUUCAUGGGACGUCUGGAUCACUUUUCUUAUUUUCUUAUUUUUCAUAGCCACCUUCCAGCACCCCAGCAGAGCUUUCUCUGUUUCUUCGUAGAGAUCUGGGCAUCUUGUUCCCAUUCCAAUCCUUGGUGGGCAUCACUCUAUUAGCCUGAGCUCUCUGAGGAUUUAUUUCUACUCGGGCUCUAACUGGGACCAUUUCCUGCAGUUGAGCUGACCCAGGGCUCCAAGAGUUAAGAGGGGACUAAGGGUUUCUUUGUCACCCGUUCCUAGCAGAUGACUUCCCCGGUUAAUCCAAAGGGCUCAUGGGUAUAUGAUUCCUUUCGCACCUGAAUGCUUCCGUCAGAGUGAGGAACCUGGGAGAUAGAGCUGACAGUGCAUACCUGGCCAGGUCUUUGGGGAGACACCACAUUAUGGUGUGCCGCUUGAAUCACCAGCUCCUGGGCCUUCUGACUGGAUCACUAUGAUCACUAUGUGGAGAUCUGCCCCACCAGUAUUCAGUGAGACCCCUCCUCCUAGAGAAGCCUUUAACCCCAGGUAGUAUGUAAGCCCCUUCCCCUCUGGAACAAACCAUGUCUCCAAUUCAUAAUAAUUUCACAAAUUAUACAUUCAUGAUUAAUUCAUUUCUAACCGAAGAACAUCACAUAUCUUAAUAACACAGUUCUUUUGAUCCUGGUUCAAAUAAACAAUACAGAAAAUAAACAAUACAAACAAUAACAUUUCCCUCUCUUCACAUGUAUGUGGAUUUUCCCAUCUCCAUAAAGAAGCCUUGAGAACUGGGGUUAGGUUUGACUUUUUGAGGCCACCAUAGGCUGACCCAACCUGGAAGUACCAACACCAAACAAACAAGUACCCGAGCCCCAACAAGUCGAGUCUCUUCAGGCUUUCCGCUACUCUCUGGUCUCUUGUUCUUGAGUUCUGACAAAUGACCAGCCAUAUUGUAACACAAAAUAGACAAAAUUUCCAGGGACUAGCGAGCAGGAAGGGUCAUUUUACCUCGUUCUCUCCCAUGGCUUAACCAGUGGCUUGUGACAACAUGACGACUACACAGUACUUUAACAAAGUUUACUAUUUUGUGCUUAAUUGGAAAUUUGUUAAAAUUUGCUAUUCCUUCAAUGAAUUUAUUUUGUUACCGAGAUUUUGUACCUGGUCUGAGAAAUUAUGACUGCAUUUCCCCUUUAAAGACAGAAUAAGACAAAAAGUUAACCAAGUGAUUUUGUUUUGUCACUUUCUACU
This is a non-coding RNA of Lepisosteus oculatus (spotted gar), 2399 nucleotides long. The record is from RefSeq and is a predicted model, not a curated record. Lineage: Eukaryota; Metazoa; Chordata; Actinopteri; Semionotiformes; Lepisosteidae.